Molecule: long non-coding RNA, 418 nt
Filed under: Homo sapiens (human)
Lineage: Eukaryota; Metazoa; Chordata; Mammalia; Primates; Hominidae
Description: non-protein coding lnc-ADGRL3-3:1
Source: RNAcentral
CAACACAUGGUGCUGUUUCUCCCAUAGCCAGGAUUCACAGGUCCAGAAAUCAAGGGGUGGAAGUGGAAGUGGCACCACUCACCAUCACCCCUAGUGACCCACUAGCAAAAUUUUUGCUUCCUGUUCCUGUGACAUUAUGUUCUGCUGGCCUAGAGGUCUUAGUUCCAGAGGGAGGAAUGCUGCCACCUGGAGACACAAUAACGAUUUCAUUAAACUGGGAGUUAAGAUUGCCACCUGGACACUUUGGGCUCCUCCUACCUUAAAGUCAACAGGCUAAGAGGGGGUAACUGUGUUGACUGGGGUGAUUGACCUGGACUAUCAAGAUGAAAUCAGUAUACUACUCCACAAUGGAGGAUGGUCAGAGGAGGAUUGGUGAGCACCUGGAAGAUUGACAAGUCACUUCCGGCAGAGCAGGCAG